Molecule: long non-coding RNA, 1204 nt
Organism: Pygocentrus nattereri (red-bellied piranha)
Lineage: Eukaryota; Metazoa; Chordata; Actinopteri; Characiformes; Serrasalmidae
Exons: 2
Source: RefSeq, a predicted model, not a curated record
GAGAGAGACAGAGUGAGAGAGAGAGAGUGAGAGAGACACAGAGAGAGAGAGACAGAGAGAGAGAGACAGAGAGAGAGAGAGAGACAGUGGUCAGCAUGCGGUCAGACGGCUUGUUUAGAGCUGGUUUAAAACCUGCUUCAUCUGCGUCUUUAUUAAAGUCUGAAUAAAUGUGGAUCAGAGCGGUGAACAGCAGGAAUGGGUGGAAACGUCUGUUUCACAACACUUUAUACAGAACUUUGAUCAACAGGCUUCAAAUGUCUUUAACAGAUAAAAUGGACUUAAACCCAGUUUCUGAGUCCUGUGUGUCUUUUUUACUGCUGACGCUAAUAAUCUCUCUCUGGAGUUUGACGUCGUCCGUGACCCAUUAGAGGAACAUAACCGCAGUGCUGGAGAACUGGAGGCCACAGGUUUGGUAGAGAACAUUGGCCAGUUAAAUCCUCCAAGUGCAGCCUUAAGUGAAGAAGCUCCUCUUGGCUCAGCGAACCAGAGAAACAGGAAUGUAAAGCAGCUUUUCUCCGUUGUUGAUCCAGUGGAGUUUAUACUGGAUGCAAAAGACAGAAAGACGUAUUACUGCUCUGCAGUCCGCUCGCUCCCUCUGCUGGACACACAGCGCUACUGCACAGAGCCGGUCUUUCCAGAAUCCAGGUCCGCCGGUCCAGCUCCGGAUUUUAUACCGACCACAGACCCUGGAAGGAUGUUAAUAGCUCAACUGUUCCAGCUCCAUUAAAGACUCCAGAGAAGACGCGGCUCCGCUCGGCUCGGCUCGGCUCGGCUCGGCUCGGCUCGGCUCCGCUCGGCGGCUUUUAGCGUUAACAUUAACUAACUAGCUCGCGAGCGGAACUAGGGCCGCGUCCCAAACCACACACUUCUGCACUUCACACACUGCACUAAUGAGUGCACUUCUAAUGGUCGCGCGCUGUUUCUACACUAUGUAGUGAGCUAGUGUUGCGGUUUGGGACGGAGCGGAUCUUUAGCGCCAUAAGCGGAGGAUUGCUGACCCUCCAAAUGGGACAUAGAUGGGUGGGAUACUACACGGCCAGCAGCCCCUCUGACCGUCAUAUGAACAUCUGUAAUUAACGGCUCCUGUUACAUCACUAAAGCAGCGCGCGCAGCUUCCUCUACAUUGGUUGCUCACAUGUUGUUUGGUUUGGCAGCAACUUCCACAAUUGUGUUAAAUCAAAAUAAACUAUUUAUGUUCAUUCAA